RNAcentral lists this unclassified non-coding RNA (361 nucleotides) under fungal sp. RNAcentral's name for it is "partial internal transcribed spacer region". The stretch from base 1 to 46 matches the Rfam family "Eukaryotic small subunit ribosomal RNA", at positions 1786 to 1831 of the family's 1831-position model. Lineage: Eukaryota; Fungi. The record is from RNAcentral.
AAGUCGUAACAAGGUUUGCGUAGGUGAACCUGCGGAAGGAUCAUUAACACGUAUCCAAACGUUAAAACCCUCCCCGUGAACAUUCAAUCCUGCUCUUGUAACCCGCGGCGCUUGCAAUCUCUGGUAAAUCAAUGUGGGAGGAAAGCAGUUUGAUUCAGAGACCUCUGGCCCGUGAGAAAAUUGGAACAGUUUCGAGCGGUAGGUUUAUAGUGUCUGAAAGCGUCAUUGAUUGUGCAAGGAUAGGAGCUAGGCCAAAGGGUCACCAUGCCCCCUUACAACCCCACAGUUUAUUGCAAAGCUCAAUGUAAUACAUUGGGUAAAAAAACUUGAACAACUGUUAACAAUGGAUAUCUUGGUUCUC